Molecule: long non-coding RNA, 306 nt
Organism: Ornithodoros turicata
Lineage: Eukaryota; Metazoa; Arthropoda; Arachnida; Ixodida; Argasidae
Exons: 5
Source: RefSeq, a predicted model, not a curated record
UGACGAUUUUGACAGGACAUCACCGGCACGAGUCCGCCUACGACAAGGCGCUGUUCCCGUUGCACACUCUUCGGUACACGCUCUACAGCACCUGCAGGUGUUACAAGCCAGCAGACGAGAACCAAGUGAUAGCACAUCAGGUCCCUCUUUUGAACAGGAAGGCAGGUUGGGCCCACACUGCUCUGCGCAAGCUCAGCAGGGGUCCAGUACGGUGAGCCCACACUCUUUGAUCCAUGCUCAGCAGUAUCUACAAGAAACAGAAGUGCCACAUACUGUGUCUGAGCCUGGACCAGAGCUAUGUGACGU